RNAcentral lists this ribosomal RNA (465 nucleotides) under uncultured bacterium. RNAcentral describes it as "partial 16S ribosomal RNA". It matches the Rfam family "Bacterial small subunit ribosomal RNA", at positions 28 to 507 of the family's 1533-position model. The record is from RNAcentral.
GACGAACGCUGGCGGCGUGCUUAACACAUGCCAGUCGAACGGAAAGGCCCUGCUUUCAGGGUACUCGAGUGGCGAACGGGUGAGUAACACGUGGGUGAUCUGCCCUGCACUUCGGGAUAAGCCUGGUAAACUGGGUCUAAUACCGGAUAGGAGCCAUUUUUAGUGUGAUGGUUGGAAAGUUUUUUCGGGGUAUGAUGAGCUCGCGGCCUAUCAGCUUGUUGGUGGGGUAAUGGCCUACCAAGGCGGCGACGGGUAGCCGGCCUGAGAGGGUGGACGGCCACACUGGGACUGAGAGGCGGCCCAGACGGCGAAGGGAGGCAGAAGUGGGGAAUAUUGAACUAUGGGCGCAAGCCGGAUGCAGAGACGCCGCGGGGGGGAUGACGGCCUUAGGGUUGUAAACUCAGUUCGCUAGGGACGAAGCUUUUUGUGACGGUACCUAGAUAAGAAGCACCGGCUAACUACGUG